This 371-nucleotide ribosomal RNA is filed under the name uncultured bacterium. RNAcentral's name for it is "bacterial SSU rRNA". It matches the Rfam family "Bacterial small subunit ribosomal RNA", at positions 29 to 411 of the family's 1533-position model. The record is from RNAcentral.
AGUGAACGCUGGCGGCGUGCUUAACACAUGCAAGUCGAACGGGCAAGUGCCGUAGCAAUACGGAUUACUGCUAGUGGCAGACGGGUGAGUAAUACAUAGGAAUCUGCCUCGGAGUGGGGAAUAACAGUUGGAAACGACUGAUAAUACCCCAUAUUGCCUGAGGGUGAAAGAAUUUCGCUCCGAGAUGAGCCUAUGCAGGAUUAGCUUGUUGGUAGGGUAAUGGCCUACCAAGGCGACGGUCUUUAGCUGGUCUAAGAGGAUGAUCAGCCACACUGGAACUGAGACACGGUCCAGACUCCUACGGGAGGCAGCAGUGGGGAAUUUUGGACAAUGGGCGAAAGCCUGAUCCAGCGACGCCGCGUGGGUGAUAA